Molecule: transfer RNA, 87 nt
Filed under: Woeseia oceani
Lineage: Bacteria; Pseudomonadati; Pseudomonadota; Gammaproteobacteria; Woeseiales; Woeseiaceae
Description: tRNA-Leu
Rfam family: tRNA
About the family: Transfer RNA (tRNA) molecules are approximately 80 nucleotides in length. Their secondary structure includes four short double-helical elements and three loops (D, anti-codon, and T loops). Further hydrogen bonds mediate the characteristic L-shaped molecular structure. tRNAs have two regions of fundamental functional importance: the anti-codon, which is responsible for specific mRNA codon recognition, and the 3' end, to which the tRNAs corresponding amino acid is attached (by aminoacyl-tRNA synthetases). tRNAs cope with the degeneracy of the genetic code in two manners: having more than one tRNA (with a specific anti-codon) for a particular amino acid; and 'wobble' base-pairing, i.e. permitting non-standard base-pairing at the 3rd anti-codon position.
Source: RNAcentral
GCCCGGGUGGCGGAAUUGGUAGACGCUACGGACUUAAAAUCCGUUUCGCGAAAGCGAGUGCGGGUUCGAUUCCCGCCCCGGGCACCA